Molecule: ribosomal RNA, 494 nt
Filed under: uncultured bacterium
Lineage: Bacteria
Description: partial 16S ribosomal RNA
Rfam family: Bacterial small subunit ribosomal RNA
Source: RNAcentral
GACGAACGCUGGCGGCGUGCUUAACACAUGCAAGUCGAACGGUGAAGCGCCUUCCUUUUUGGUGGGUGUGGAUGAGUGGCGAACGGGUGAGUAACACGUGAGUAACCUGCCCCCUUCUUCUGGAUAACCGCAUGAAAGUGUGGCUAAUACGGGAUAUUCUGGGUCUGUCGCAUGAUGGGUCUGGGAAAGAUAUUGUUUCGGUGGGGGAUGGGCUCGCGGCCUAUCAGCUUGUUGGUGGGGUGAUGGCCUACCAAGGCGGUGACGGGUAGCCGGCCUGAGAGGGUGGACGGUCACGCUGGGGCUGAGACACGGCCCAGACUCCUACGGGAGGCAGCAGUGUGGAAUAGUGCACAAUGGGCGCAAGCCUGAUGCAGCGACGCCGCGUGAGGGAUGGAGGCCUUCGGGUUGUGAACCUCUUUCGCCAGUGAAGCAGGCCUGCCUCGUUUGUGGGUGGGUUGACGGUAGCUGGAUAAGAAGCGCCGGCUAACUACGUG